GUACUUGAGCUUAAUGCUGCCAUAAACGAGUCCAAAAGAGAAAGCAGAUGCACGAGCCACCUAUUACAGUAAUAAUUGCAAUAUGAAUCAAUUUAAAAAAAAGGAGAUUAAAAAAAAAUAAAGAAAAUAAAUUACAAGAGCGAGAGUGCUGGUGCCGGAGUAAGGUCCAGGAGGAGGCGCCAUCGAUUCGCUUUGUUUGAGAAAUUUGGGCGACGGAGUUUCAGAUCAG
Molecule: long non-coding RNA, 229 nt
Organism: Hibiscus syriacus
Lineage: Eukaryota; Viridiplantae; Streptophyta; Magnoliopsida; Malvales; Malvaceae
Exons: 2
Source: RefSeq, a predicted model, not a curated record